UAGAGUUCCAGGUACAUUUAUGACACUGAAAUAUCACACAUGAAUGUAAACUAAGUUUCUCACAAAAUAAUUAGACUAUACUGGAAAGCUUUACUAAACAUUAUACAAUAUUUGAGCAAUUAUACUACAGUUGAAAUGCUUGGGGUCAGUAAAGACAUUUCAACAUUUCAAUUUUAAAUAAAUGCGGUUCUUUUGAACUUUCUAUAUUGAUCAAAGAAUACUGGAGAAAUGAUGCUGAAAAUUCAGCUUGGCCAUCACAGGAAUAAACAGUUAUUUUUAAGUGUAAUAAUAUUUCACAAUAUUACUGCGUUUUUGAUCAAAUACAUGCAACUUUGG
Molecule: long non-coding RNA, 336 nt
Organism: Rhinichthys klamathensis goyatoka
Lineage: Eukaryota; Metazoa; Chordata; Actinopteri; Cypriniformes; Leuciscidae
Exons: 2
Source: RefSeq, a predicted model, not a curated record